CGGAAUUAGAGACCGGCGCACGGGUGCGUAACGCGUAUGCAAUCUACCUUUCACAGAGGGAUAGCCCAGAGAAAUUUGGAUUAAUACCUCAUAGUAUAUAGCCCUGGCAUCAGGAUUAUAUUAAAGUCACAACGGUGAAAGAUGAGCAUGCGUCCCAUUAGCUAGUUGGUAUGGUAACGGCAUACCAAGGCUACGAUGGGUAGGGGUCCUGAGAGGGAGAUCCCCCACACUGGUACUGAGACACGGACCAGACUCCUACGGGAGGCAGCAGUGAGGAAUAUUGGACAAUGGGCGCAAGCCUGAUCCAGCCAUGCCGCGUGCAGGAUGACGGUCCUAUGGAUUGUAAACUGCUUUUGCACAGGAAGAAACAACUCUACGUGUAGAGUCUUGACGGUACUGUGAGAAUAAGGAUCGGCUAACUCCGUGCCAGCAGCCGCGGUAAUACGGAGGAUCCAAGCGUUAUCCGGAAUCAUUGGGUUUAAAGGGUCCGUAGGCGGUCUUAUAAGUCAGUGGUGAAAUCUCCCCGCUCAACGGGGAAACGGCCAUUGAUACUGUAGGACUUGAAUUAUUAGGAAGUAACUAGAAUAUGUAGUGUAGCGGUGAAAUGCUUAGAGAUUACAUGGAAUACCAAUUGCGAAGGCAGGUUACUACUAAUGGAUUGACGCUGAUGGACGAAAGCGUGGGUAGCGAACAGGAUUAGAUACCCUGGUAGUCCACGCCGUAAACGAUGGAUACUAGCUGUUGGGAGCAAUCUCAGUGGCUAAGCGAAAGUGAUAAGUAUCCCACCUGGGGAGUACGUU
Molecule: ribosomal RNA, 800 nt
Filed under: Flavobacterium sp.
Lineage: Bacteria; Pseudomonadati; Bacteroidota; Flavobacteriia; Flavobacteriales; Flavobacteriaceae
Description: bacterial SSU rRNA
Rfam family: Bacterial small subunit ribosomal RNA
Source: RNAcentral